RNAcentral lists this long non-coding RNA (242 nucleotides) under Vigna radiata. Its description in RNAcentral is "long non-coding RNA (VRAD_LNC004185)". The record is from RNAcentral. Lineage: Eukaryota; Viridiplantae; Streptophyta; Magnoliopsida; Fabales; Fabaceae.
UCAAUUUUCGAGGACGAAAAUUUUUGUUGUUGGGGAGAAUAUAAGAACCUAAGAAUAUGUAUAAUAUAUGUAUAAAUAUUAAAAGAAGUUGGGGGCGAAACUGAAUUAAAAUAAAAGGGAGGGGUCAUUUAACUAAAAAGAACCAGUUUAAUUUUGCUGCUGGACUUUCUGAUAAGCAUAAGCCAUUCUCUCAAGAACGUUUCUCUCUCUAGACCUCAUGAUGAGUUGAUAUUUUAUUGACU